This is a transfer RNA of Toxocara canis (dog roundworm), 58 nucleotides long. It matches the Rfam family "tRNA", at positions 7 to 64 of the family's 71-position model. From Rfam's summary of the family: Transfer RNA (tRNA) molecules are approximately 80 nucleotides in length. Their secondary structure includes four short double-helical elements and three loops (D, anti-codon, and T loops). Further hydrogen bonds mediate the characteristic L-shaped molecular structure. tRNAs have two regions of fundamental functional importance: the anti-codon, which is responsible for specific mRNA codon recognition, and the 3' end, to which the tRNAs corresponding amino acid is attached (by aminoacyl-tRNA synthetases). tRNAs cope with the degeneracy of the genetic code in two manners: having more than one tRNA (with a specific anti-codon) for a particular amino acid; and 'wobble' base-pairing, i.e. permitting non-standard base-pairing at the 3rd anti-codon position. The record is from Rfam. Lineage: Eukaryota; Metazoa; Nematoda; Chromadorea; Rhabditida; Toxocaridae.
GUGGCUUAGUGGUAGAGCUCCCACUUCGUAAGCGGGAAGACUGGGUGUGAUUCCCGGC